This 703-nucleotide ribosomal RNA is filed under the name bacterium 4881K6-B7. RNAcentral's name for it is "bacterial SSU rRNA". It matches the Rfam family "Bacterial small subunit ribosomal RNA", at positions 8 to 701 of the family's 1533-position model. The record is from RNAcentral.
AGAGUUUGAUCCUGGCUCAGAUUGAACGCUGGCGGCAGGCCUAACACAUGCAAGUCGAGCGGUAACAGAAAGUAGCUUGCUACUUUGCUGACGAGCGGCGGACGGGUGAGUAAUGCUUGGGAACAUGCCUUGAGGUGGGGGACAACAGUUGGAAACGACUGCUAAUACCGCAUAAUGUCUACGGACCAAAGGGGGCUUCGGCUCUCGCCUUUAGAUUGGCCCAAGUGGGAUUAGCUAGUUGGUGAGGUAAUGGCUCACCAAGGCGACGAUCCCUAGCUGGUUUGAGAGGAUGAUCAGCAACACUGGGACUGAGACACGGCCCAGACUCCUACGGGAGGCAGCAGUGGGGAAUAUUGCACAAUGGGCGCAAGCCUGAUGCAGCCAUGCCGCGUGUGUGAAGAAGGCCUUCGGGUUGUAAAGCACUUUCAGUCAGGAGGAAAGGUUAGUAGUUAAUACCUGCUAGCUGUGACGUUACUGACAGAAGAAGCACCGGCUAACUCCGUGCCAGCAGCCGCGGUAAUACGGAGGGUGCGAGCGUUAAUCGGAAUUACUGGGCGUAAAGCGUACGCAGGCGGUUUGUUAAGCGAGAUGUGAAAGCCCCGGGCUCAACCUGGGAACUGCAUUUCGAACUGGCCAAACUAGAGUGUGGAUAGAAAGGGUGAGAAUUUCAAGGUGUAGCGGUGAAAAUGCGUAGAAGAUCUGA